Molecule: non-coding RNA, 160 nt
Filed under: bovine gut metagenome
Description: Lysine riboswitch
Rfam family: Lysine riboswitch aptamer
About the family: Riboswitches are metabolite binding domains within certain messenger RNAs that serve as precision sensors for their corresponding targets. Allosteric rearrangement of mRNA structure is mediated by ligand binding, and this results in modulation of gene expression. This family includes riboswitches that sense lysine in a number of genes involved in lysine metabolism, including lysC.
Source: RNAcentral
AUGAUAGAGGCGCGGUACUCAAAAGUAGCAUGGCACAAGCGGCUUCGGCUUCGUGUGAAAGGGUGUAUCGCCGAAAAAGUUUCGAUAGCGAGCAUAUAUCGGGCUUUUGGUAUUGCGGAUAAUAUCCGUUGUACUGUCGCCAAGGCGGAGAGCUAUCGAA